GCAGAGCGUGGUGGCGCAUGCCUGUAAUCCCAGCGGCUUGGGAGGCUGAGGCAGGAGGAUCACAAGUUCAAAGCCAACCUCAGCAAUGGUGAGAUGCUAAGCAACUCAGUGAGACCCUGUCUUUA
This 125-nucleotide small RNA is filed under the name Marmota monax (woodchuck). Lineage: Eukaryota; Metazoa; Chordata; Mammalia; Rodentia; Sciuridae. The record is from RNAcentral.